This 342-nucleotide non-coding RNA is filed under the name Gossypium hirsutum (cotton). RNAcentral's name for it is "Eukaryotic small subunit ribosomal RNA". It matches the Rfam family "Eukaryotic small subunit ribosomal RNA", at positions 1179 to 1500 of the family's 1831-position model. The record is from Rfam by way of RNAcentral. Lineage: Eukaryota; Viridiplantae; Streptophyta; Magnoliopsida; Malvales; Malvaceae.
GAGUCUGCAACUUAAUUUGACCCAACACGAGGAAACGUACCAGGUUUGGUCAUAGUAAGGAUUCACAGACUAAGAGCUCUUUCUUGAUUCUAUGGGUGGUGGUGCAUAGCUGUUUUUAGUUGGUGGAUCGUUUCCCUUGGGAAGGACAUGAGAGCAUCCCCGCCAAGAACAAUGAAGCCCUUAUUUUAGAACUACCAUGGGUUGGGGAACCCUGCAAUAGUUCGGGAGCUUAAGCAAGUCCUCAUUGCUAAUAACCUUGAUAUUAUGUUUCUUAGUGAAACGAAGAUGAAUGCUAAUGGUUUUGUGACAGCCCUAAAGUGACCCUAGUCGGAAAGCGAUCUC